GAGAUUAAGGCUUAUAGUUGAGUUGAGUAUUACCAUGAUACUUGAUAUUUUAAAUAUUUAGUGGAAUUUCAAAUGCCUCAAACAUGGAAAAUUUAUGAAUAAAAAUAAAAACUUGGAAAGUUCAACAGUAGAAAUAGAAUUUUUGGUUUUUUAAAGACAGGAAUUACAGCAUAGAGAGUAACCUACCAGUGCUAGAGCAUACUGUAUA
RNAcentral lists this unclassified non-coding RNA (208 nucleotides) under Hevea brasiliensis (rubber tree). Lineage: Eukaryota; Viridiplantae; Streptophyta; Magnoliopsida; Malpighiales; Euphorbiaceae. The record is from RNAcentral.